GCAACUGUAGUAUAUUAGUACUUCACAUUUUCGUUGUGAGAGUGGAAACUUUUCCUAGUAGCU
Molecule: transfer RNA, 63 nt
Filed under: Polyphemus pediculus
Lineage: Eukaryota; Metazoa; Arthropoda; Branchiopoda; Diplostraca; Polyphemidae
Description: tRNA-Glu
Source: RNAcentral